RNAcentral lists this non-coding RNA (30 nucleotides) under Mus musculus (house mouse). Lineage: Eukaryota; Metazoa; Chordata; Mammalia; Rodentia; Muridae. The record is from RNAcentral.
UAGGAAUUCUGUGAACAAAUCACUGGAGGC